This 253-nucleotide ribosomal RNA is filed under the name uncultured bacterium. RNAcentral describes it as "partial 16S ribosomal RNA". It matches the Rfam family "Bacterial small subunit ribosomal RNA", at positions 524 to 776 of the family's 1533-position model. The record is from RNAcentral.
UACAGAGGGUGCGAGCGUUGUUCGGAAUUACUGGGCGUAAAGCGUGCGCAGGCGGUUUGUUAAGUCCGUUGUGAAAGCCCCGAGCUCAACUUGGGAAUUGCAGUGGAUACUGGCAGGCUGGAGUACGGUAGAGGAAGGUGGAAUUCCCGGUGUAGCAGUGAAAUGCGUAGAUAUCGGGAGGAACACCAGUGGCGAAGGCGGCCUUCUGGACCAGUACUGACGCUCAUGCACGAAAGCGUGGGGAGCAAACAGG